This is a long non-coding RNA of Gossypium arboreum, 641 nucleotides long. RefSeq lists it as uncharacterized. The transcript has 2 exons. NCBI's taxonomy places the organism in Eukaryota, Viridiplantae, Streptophyta, Magnoliopsida, Malvales, Malvaceae. The record is from RefSeq and is a predicted model, not a curated record.
GCUGGACCACCGCAGGGUCACCGCUGGCCACCGCGCGGUGGCCGGAGUUUUGAAAGGCAAGUGGGCGGUGCUGACAUGGGUGGUGAAGCAGGUGGAGCAGGUGACUGGCAUGGGACGAUGGGAUGUUGGCGGCGCUAGGGGUUGAUUAGGUGAUUUAGGGUUUCAGAUUUUAAAACCCUAAAUUUGGGCUAGUUGGGUCAGCCUGAGGUUUGGGUCUGUUUUAGGUUGGGCUUUAGUUUUUUUUUAUUUGUUUUAGGUAUUGGGCUAGGGUUGUAAUGGGUUUUGGGUAGGUAUAUUUGGUUUAAUUUAGGCCCGUAAAUUGGGCUUGUACAGACAUCUGGGAAUUCUGUAAAGUUGGGAGCUAUUUUGGGUCUUAGAUUAUUGGGUAUUUGUAGUAAUAGAAGUGAUACUUGAGAAUACCUCUGUGUAUAUAGUUGAGGUAAUGUCAUCAAUCUCUGAACUUUCUCUUGCUUUUCGAUGUUAAGUUUAAAAGCCAACUUGCAAGUAGGGAACCUAUAAAGAGCUCUGUCUCAAAAGAUAGGGAGUUGUGUGUCAUGUGUUGGAUAGAAAUUUUCUUUACAUCCGACCUUGAAGUUUCGAAUUCUAUUAUCUUAUGAUUCAAACUUUGUAUUUUGGAAGAA